GAGGGCCUCGCGCCCCCGGGGGCUCCCCCCCCCGCUCUUCACCCCAUGUCUAUACGUCCACGUUGCUUUGGCGGGUCUUGGGGUUGUGCCCAUGCCGGCUCCGGGCGUCAGCCUGCGCCGGCGAGUACCCGCCGGGGGACCAUUCCACUCCAUUUUUCAGUGCCGUCUGAGUGAAAACACAAUAAUCAAAACUUUCAACAACGGAUCUCUUGGCUCUGGCAUCGAUGAAGAACGCAGCAAAAUGCGAUAAGUAAUGUGAAUUGCAGAAUUCAGUGAAUCAUCGAAUCUUUGAACGCACAUUGCGCCCUUCGGGAUUCCGGAGGGCAUGCCUGUCCGAGCGUCAUUGCACCCCUCAAGCCCCGCUUGGUAUUGGGUCCUCGCCCCCGAAGCGUGCCCGAAAAGCAAUGGCGGUCCGGCGAGACUUCGAGCGUAGUAAUUACCAACCCGCUCCGGAAGGUUUCUCGCAGGGACCCGCCUCGCCCCCCCAUAUCAAUGAUUGACCUCGGAUCAGGUAGGGAUACCCGCUGAACUUAAGCAUAUCAAUAAGCGGAGGAAAAGAAACCAACCGGGAUUGCCUCAGUAACGGCGAGUGAAGCGGC
Molecule: ribosomal RNA, 599 nt
Filed under: Calycidium cuneatum
Lineage: Eukaryota; Fungi; Ascomycota; Lecanoromycetes; Lecanorales; Calycidiaceae
Description: eukaryotic LSU rRNA
Rfam family: 5.8S ribosomal RNA (bases 190-343)
Source: RNAcentral